CCACGCACACACGCGCGGCAUAUCAAUAAGCGGAGGAAAAGAAACUAACAAGGAUUCCCUUAGUAACGGCGAGUGAAGCGGGAAGAGCUCAAAUUUGAAAUCUUCAAGGUUUUACCUUGACGAAUUGUAGUUUAAAGAAGUGUUUUCUGUUGAAGUUUUGGUAAAAGUUCUUUGGAAUAGGACAUCAUAGAGGGUGAGAAUCCCGUAUUUGACCAUUAUUUUCAGCUGUGUGAUAUACUUUCAAAGAGUCGGAUUGUUUGGGAAUGCAGUCCAAAAUGGGUGGUAAAUUUCAUCUAAAGCUAAAUAUUGGCGAGAGACCGAUAGCGAACAAGUACCGUGAGGGAAAGAUGAAAAGAACUUUGAAAAGAGAGUUAAACAGUACGUGAAAUUGUCAAAAGGGAAGCGUUUGACACCAGUGUUGUUUUCUCGAAAAUCAAUUAAAAAAAGUUGGAUUUUGUGUUGUAUUGACCUUAACAGCUUUCUUCACUCUUUUCCUGCUUUUUUUAAUGCACUUUUCGUUUAACAAGUCAACAUCAGUUUCUUUUGUUGUAAAAAGGUCAUUGGAAGGUGGCUUUCUUUUCGGAGAAAGUGUUUAUAGCCUUUGAUCCCUGCAAUCGGAGAGACUGAGGUCUGCAGCGUAGAUCCUUCGGGGUUAGAUACAUUUGUGCUAAGUUAUAGCUUUUUAUAGACAACUUGUUGACUAUAUUUAGUCUUGUAGCUUACUCGCUUAUGCUAUUUUACCUACGCUUAGGAUGUUGAUAGUCACAGCGUGUAC
Molecule: ribosomal RNA, 775 nt
Filed under: uncultured Neocallimastigales
Lineage: Eukaryota; Fungi; Neocallimastigomycota; Neocallimastigomycetes; Neocallimastigales
Description: partial large subunit ribosomal RNA
Rfam family: Eukaryotic large subunit ribosomal RNA
Source: RNAcentral